GAAUGAACAAAAAUUCUUUCCAAAGGAUUAUCUGCAAAUGAUCCAAAAAUGUCUUUAUUACGAAAAACGAGUUUGAAUCCAAUCUUAUCUGCGACUUUUGUUACCUUUCUUCAAUGUUAAGAGCAACUUUUUGUGAGAGCAACUGGCUGAGGCUUAGAUAAGGGUUUUGUUUUU
This is a long non-coding RNA of Cebus imitator (Panamanian white-faced capuchin), 174 nucleotides long. RefSeq lists it as uncharacterized. The record is from RefSeq and is a predicted model, not a curated record. Lineage: Eukaryota; Metazoa; Chordata; Mammalia; Primates; Cebidae. The transcript is spliced from 2 exons.